RNAcentral lists this long non-coding RNA (11924 nucleotides) under Capsicum annuum. Its description in RNAcentral is "long non-coding RNA (CANN_LNC002182)". The record is from RNAcentral. Lineage: Eukaryota; Viridiplantae; Streptophyta; Magnoliopsida; Solanales; Solanaceae.
AAAAAUAUUAAUCAAAAUCGAAGCAUGCAACUUUAACGAUGAAACCAGCCUUAACAAGAUAUCAGAAACUCAAAACAAAAUCAAAGACAUGAAAAUUUAAACGACGAAACCAGCCUUAACAAGAUACCAGCAACUCGAAACAAAAUUAAAAGAAUGAAACUUUAGCUACCAAACAAGCCUUAAUAAGAUACCAGCAACUUGAAACAAAAUUAAAAGCAUGAAACUUUAGCUACCAAGCCAGCCUUCAAAUCAUAAGUAGUACCUAAGAUGAGAUGUUAAGUCGAAGAUUAACCAACAAUAUCGAGAGUAAAUUACACAAUCAAUGUCGAGACACAGACAACAGAAAUUGCACAUCAGAUAACUCAAAAUAAGAAUUAAUCCAACGCCAUAAUAAUCUAACACUUUCUUCACAACUAUAGAAAAACCUAUGGCCUUUAAGGCCUCUACCAGCAAAUAACCCAGCACACAAGCAGUAUCAAAAACUAUCUACGACUAUAGAAUGGCGAGAUGAAGUAGAAUACGAUCGAAAUUUAAAUGGCGAUAGAAUGUUACCUAUUUAGGAGCAGCAAAAUGGGACUACGAGCUGAAAAUCAACAUUAUCAACUCAGGACCUCCAAUUAAUCGAUGAACUCUCCAAAGAAGAAAGAAAGAGAAAAAUUUAUAUUAAAAGGGACUAUUUUUGCUUUCAGAAUUUUCUUCCUCUUUUUUUUGAAACUUUUCUCUGCUUUAUCUUUUUUUUUUGAAAAAUUUUUCUCUCCUCCUCCCAAAGACCCUUCUUUAGCUCCAUGAAUGAGCUUUUUAUAGCAACAAAAAAGGAGAGUUCUCAAAACCUUUCCUUAAUGUCGAAACACAACCCUUUUGGGGGGUAAUUUUAGAAUUUUCCCUAAGGUAUUCAAAUUUCACAACUUAAGACCAAAUUUUCGCCCAACAAAUUGCACCAAUUGAACUAUUUUUGAACAAAUCAAAAACCAAAUUCAGCCAAUGAGAAUUAAGGGCAAGAAUAAUUCUCCAAGAACCAAUCAAAAUCUAACAAGUAUGUAUGAAUUCGUAUGAAUCAACCAUUGGAGUAGGAAAACUCGACAUAUUCUAGAAGAUUAGGUAUGAAAUUGCAUGUUUGUCACAUAACCCGUACGAUCAAAAGAAAAAGGGAUAAAUUUACAGGGAAAAAGAAAAUUAGGGUCGAUUCUUGGGUUUGAUGUGGAUUCGGGUCGAUGUUAUUAAGUUCGUCGAUGGUUUGUCACUGCUUUGUGAAGAGAAAAUGUUGAAGGUUAAUCAGUUCAGGUGGGUCAAAAUUAUUUGCAGUCGGGUCGCCGAUAUUGAUGGUGUUGGUUGGUCCAUGAAAUUAUUGUUGUGUUCUAUUGUUUGCUUUGAUAUUUGUUAACGAACAAAAAGGGAGUAAAAAUAAUUGGGCUGGGUCACUGAUUGGGGACUUGGGCUGGGGCAGUUUAAUUAUUUUUCUUCAAAUAGAAUGGGCUAGUUUUAAAAAAGGAGACAAAGGGCUGGUGAUAGCAUUUUGUGAAGUGGGCUCGGGUGAAGGGUUAUUGGGCCUAGAAUUGGCAGAUUUUGAUUAUUUUUGGAUUUGGCCAACUUAUUUAAUUUUUGGCCAAAUUGAAAAUCAAUUGGCCAAUUGCAUCGCAAUUGUGGCCAAUUUGAUUUCAAUUAUGGACAAAUCUAAUAAUAGAUUGGCUAAAUUAGAUCAAAAUUUGAAAUAAAUUAAUACUUUAUUUAACCUCGAGCUUCUUUAUUAGAUAAAAUCAAACACAGAUUUAUCCAAAUAAAUUAUUCUCAAGAAUAAAUUGUAUUUAAAUUAAUAUUUUAAUUAUUUAAAAUUAUAUUGAUAUAACCCUUGAUUAGAAUUCGAUAUUUCGUAAAAAGAGAUAUUUAAGUAAUUAUAUUAUAUAAUUUCGUAUAGUUAAAUAUGAUGAUAUAUAAUCUUUACUUAAAUUGGCAAAAUUACCCAUAUAAAAGCUUUUUAUUCAAAUAAAAAAUGUUGUAAUUUUAUUCAAAAUCAAAGAAACUCAGAGUUAAAUUCAGUUAUGGAGGGCAAAAUUAGGUGUCAACAACUGCCCCCUCCCUUUGGGUAGGGUGGAUACAAGUAACCUUGGGUAAAGAGAGGUUGACGAUCCUAAUUUUAUCCAACCAAAAAAUUUGAAUCUGAAAGAGGUUAGCUUUAGCAUGAGUUUCAUGGAUUUAUGGCCGGACCUCAGUAUCAGUUUUCCUACAUAUAUUAGGUUACAUGAGAAUUCAGAGCACUUGUAGUUCAUAAAGCUUGCUUGUAAGCACGAUUUUCAAUAAAAUUCACAAGUUAUCUCGAUUUUAGAGUUUUUGAUGAAACUGAAAAACUGGGGAAUAAAAGGAUUUGGGGGGAGGUUGGAAUGCAGUUGGAUUUUCUACAUAGAUCCCAGCCUAUAUAUUCCUAAGACUCAAGAAAUCAGACUGUUUGUAGUUUGACUCAAUCGGUAGAAAAGAUAGUCUUUUAUUUUAGAUAAUUUUUGGCUCGGGAGGAGUGACAAGUUGAUCGAGUUGUGAAAAAGAGGUUUGUAACCUCUUAACCAUGAAUGUUAAUCUCUUCACAUCCAUAGGUAAGAACUUACCCGGACAUAAUUUCCAAAACUCUAGGUGUGCUAUCACUCGAAUUUGAAAGAAAGACAAAUUUACCCUCAGUAUGAGUUUAGAAAAUCCUGAAGGUGAAGAUGAAACCAAAAUAUCCCAAAAUACCCAUAUACCUGCUAAUAAGGGUAUAGUUAGAUGGUGGUGGCGAUCAUCCUUUAGCUCGCGUCCAAAGAGUUUGACGUCCCUCUCUAGACUAUGUUAUUUGGUAGGUCUAACUUGAACCUUAGAACUUCAAGACUCAAAGUUUGUGUUCUUGGUGUUCUUGGUGUUCUUGGUGUUCUUGGUGUUCUUCACCAUCUCCAUAGUAGUGAAAAUGAUGGUAUAUCUUUCCUUGAAGGCUAUAUCCAUUAUGCUAACCCGUUCUAGUGUGACAACAUUCCUCCUAAAGAUGAAAAUCUCUUCUUGGAAGAUGAUAGUACUCUUAUGGGAAAGGAAUGUGUACUCUCGGAAAUGAGUACUCUUGGUAGUACUCUUGGUGUUCAUGAUGAUCAAUUUACUCUUAAAUGUAGUUCACUACUUGGGCAUGUGAAUAGAGUGCUUAAAAAUUCGCAAGUUAGUGAUAGUGUCUAUAGAAUUGAUCUUGAUAAUUUGCAUGACUCUUUGAACAUCUUGUGUGGUAAAAGUAUUGCGAUUAGUUUUGUUCAUAGAGAUCAUGUGUAUGAAAAUGUUUUUGUGUGUGAAUGUAGGAGUGAUAUUCUAGGGUAAGGAAGGGCUAGCCUCGGCUUAGGCCCUUGGCUAAUUCUUUCAUUUGAUCCCGGUACCAUCUUAGGGUGGGAAAGAAUAACUCUCCGCCUAUUUUCAUUCUGUUUUGGUAUUUAUCCGAGCCACUUCCUUUGUCACAUUUGUACUAAUAUUUUCAUGUUUAAUACAAAGAACCCGUGGAUAUACUUCAAAUUUAUUCCCCCUCGGCAUGGCAUAUUAAUGUGUUUAUUUUUUGCUAACCCUAACCCUCGUGUCAUGAGGAUGUGUGCUUAUUUGUCUUCUCUUGAUUUUGCAAGGUACGGAUUUGAGGUCGAAUCCUUUUCAAGAAGGGGCGGGUGAUACGAGUACGAUCGCGUAGAUGGACUUAUGAGGGCGUAUGUUAGACUCGAGACUUGGUGUGUGCAAAUGAAGUGCAAAGGAGCACCUAAAUGGACACCAAAACCGUCCAUACAUAGCACUCCAAUGGCGCCUAUUGAAGCAUUUGACUAAGGGGUCAUUUUGGACAUUUCACACUUUAUUUUGUAACCUACUAUAAAUAUAAUAAUGUAGGAUUUUAGUCAUUAGUUUUUGUUGAAUAUUGAAGUUGUAACACUUGAAACUCUCUCUCUUGUGAGAAAGGCCCCCAUGGCUGAAACUUGUAACUAGGAAAAUCAACAUUGAGUGUGGAUUCACUCGUGAUAGACUCAAGCUUGGAAACGUUGGAUGCUUGGGAGAUCGAGGUCACUCUUGUGCCAACGUAAGAGUUAGGUAUUUAUUGUGUGUGAUGUUAAAGGUCCAAGAGUGGAAUAGGCUUUUGGGUUUUUAAGAUUAUACUUUCAAUUUGUUUAGCUAUUUAUCCUUUUACCUUUUCGUAAUCUUGUUUAGUGUUUGUGUUGUAAUCUUGUGUUCUUGUUGUUAUUGUUAAAUCCGAUCUUGUGUCUUCUUGUUCAUAAUCUUAUGUUGUUAAUCUAGUUUGUUGUACGUUGAUUUGGUGUAAUAAAAACCUUGUUAUCUUCUUGUUAUGGUGUUCUUGGGAAGCCGAGACUUGUCUCCAAAAGGGUUCACGAAUUUCUUCCAUUUUAUGGACUAUUUUUGGACUGAUUUUGUGUUUCCGUUGUCAUUCCUAUAUCACAAUGAUAUUAAAUGACCCUCUUGGAAAUGGCAUGAAAUGGCCCUCUUGGCAAUGAUAUGAAAUGGCCCUCUUGGCAAAGAUAUGAAAUAACCCUCUUGGUAAUGGCAUGAAAUGGCCCUCUUGGCAAUGAUAUGAAAUGGCAAUCUUGGCAAUGAUAUAAAAUGGCUCUUUUGGCAGUGGCAUAAAAUGGACCUCUUGGCAAUGAUAUGCAAUGAUUCUUCCGGUGAUUUGAAAACAAUUUCACCUGAAUUCGUUUGUCUGCGUCUUACUUUAUACAUGUACCUGUACUCAAGGUAGACAAUUAGUAGACACAGUGUCUCUCUUAAUGGCGACCAUAAUUAAGCUUUAUGAUAGUUUAAUGACAAAUACUGAGCAUCAUAAUUUAAAUGACUUAUUCCUCCAUCAAUCUUCUCUUUUUGAAGAAAUGACUAAAUAAAAAAUCCACCGGAUGCAAGUAAAGGAAGCAAAGUCCUUUUGAUUAUUGUAGUUAUUUUGCCAACUCCCUUGAAUGUACCUGCGCUCAAGGUAAAUAUUUAGUAGACGUAAAGUCGCUUUUACUAAUGAUUAUUUUUUAGAAAAAUUCUAAAUACAUUAUUCAUAAAAAAGAUAAGACGCCUUUGUUUGUCCUUCAUGAUAUCAAGAAAUGAGAUAGAUAAUUCAAAAGGUCCUCAAUAAAUGGGUAUUAAAUCCAUUUUUGGGGCUACUCAAAAAUACCGUUCUUAAGCAUUAUAUGCUCUAGUAUGGCUCCCAACUUGCUUGGGGAUUUUUUUGGAAGAGGGCUCUCAUUUUUUUGUAUUGAUCCCUGCAUCCGAUCCUUGAUUUACUCCUCGCCAUCUUUCGGGUACUCCGUCAUGUUGGGACUUUCACCCGGACUCCCCGUCCCAAUAGAUGCCUAGGUAAUCACUAAGUAAAAAGAUUUGCAUAGAUUUUUGAAAGUAGUCUUAGUUUUAAAAACUAGUUUCAAAACUUCUGUAAAAGAUCUACAAAAUUUGUACCAAUCAUGUCAUGUACUAGCUCAAUGAACGUAUUCCUCUUAUUUUUGACUAUAUCUGACGGAGGAGUUCCAAAACUCAUCAUCAUUGUUGGAGGGUUCUUCAAAUAGUUCUAUCAUAGCCAGAAAUUAAGUCUACCUAGACUUUGUCGCAGCUGGUGGUUUCAAAAGCUUGACUUUGACCUCUGGUGCUGGGGAAUUUGAAAUAUAUUCCAGUGUUUAGUAUAAAUUUUGAGGCCUUUCUCAAAAUUUCUACCCCAUUUUAAUGUUGUUCAAGAUGAUCUCUGCUCGAGAGAAUCCGAAGUCUUUGUUGGUCUUCGUUCUCUUUGUCGGAUCAUAUGAUCUUCCUCUUAUGAAUUUUCAAGAUUCCUUCUCGAAAAUUCUGCCCCAGAUUCCAUUUCCUAGGUUAAUAUAAUUGAUCCAUUGAGGCUCCUAUGUAUCCCGUUGAAGUAGGAAUCAGGUCAAACGUAGUGUAGGACUACGCUAAGGAUAUAUAGAAAAACCUAAUGGGUUGACCGAAGCCAACAUAGGCCGCCUACAUAUUCCUUUUUGGGAAUUCAGGUCAUCAAGUAGUUCAUACAUGAAAGGAAAGAAUAAAUUUUUCUAAGGGAUUGACCGAAGCCAUCAUAGGCCACCUACGUAUCCCUUUCUUGGGUAUUUAGGUCAAACGUAGUUCGUACAUGAAAGAAAAGGAUAAAUUUUCCUAAGAGGUUGACCGAAGCUGACAUAGGCCGCCUACGUAUCCCUUUCUUGGGAAUUCAAGUCAAACGUAGUUCGUACAUGAAAGAAAAGGAUAAAUUUUCCUAAAGGGUUGACCAAAGCCGACAUAGGCCGCCUAUGUAUCCCUUUCUUGGGAAUUCAGGUUAACCGUAGUUCGUAAAUGAAAGAAAAGGGAUUCUAGGCAAUUACAUAUCAUAAAACAAAUACUAUCAUAAAGGCGAUUACAAAUAAGCCAAGGAAACAAAAGCUAAAACAUCUUUCAAACACAGUAUCUUUUUAUCGUAUUAGAAUUGAUUGGUUUGGUCCACUCUUGACCAUCCAUCUCAGGUAGGAUUAGGGCUCCUCCAAGUUGGCCUUCUUUCGAUUUUCAAAUUCCUCUAUAUCUACUACUAACUGCUCCUCGUCACCUUUUUUUCAUUCAUCAUCAUUCCCUUCGCUUUGUUCGUCUAACCCUUUACAAGACAUUAGCGGGUUUUAAAUUAUUGCUACCUAUUGAUCGGGGAGUGAUAAGUGAAUUGGAAGUCCCAUUCAGCAAUGUUUCCUCCAAUUCAUCUUCCUUGAUUCCGAUUGUCUUAGAAAAUUCUUCCAUCAUAUUUUAUUUAUUUCAUCCUCGAGACCAUUGCUUAUGGGUUUGAAAAAUGAUCGGUAGAGUCCAAUUUAACAACUAGUCAUUUUUCUUUUCCUGUAAAAAUAUUAUAGUCAAGAAGGGGAUCUCUUAUUUAUUUUGAUCUGGUGAAGUAGGGCCAUUUUGUGUCAACACGGAGUAGUUUCUAUUACUUUCAAAGUAAAAACAACUCAAAGGCUGACGUAUUAGAUUCUGUUAGUAAUAAGCAAAGCAAGAUGAUAAGGUAGGAAGUAAACAUAUAGAGUUGUUUCUUAUCUCAUGCAAAUUGAUCCAUGAAGUAAUGAUGACUCAAGAAUUUCAAUGAAUAGGAUUUUUGUCAAUGAUAUGGAUAGGCGGAAUUCAUCAGGAAGGCUCAACUCUUAUUCACUCCGAUCUUAUCUCUUCUUUCAAGAAAGCGGAGGACAACAGAGUUUUCGAAGAUAGAAGCCGGGUCGAAAGGCUGCCUACGUUUCUCACAGAGGAGAAAUCAGGCCCUACAUAGUUCAAAACUAUAAAGGCUUCUUUUGUGUCAAUAGUCAGUCUUCCUGAAAUAAUAGUGAGCUUUUAGGAAGUUUUAAGAAUGAUUGCGGACUUUCUGGGAGACUUGGGGUAUAUUUGGUCGGAUUUUUGUAUUGUGGGGUAUAUUUCUGCCUGGAAAAUGGGAUUUGAUCAUUUUGCCUUUGAUUCGAAUCAACGUAGCAUGUAUAAGCACAUAUAAACAGUUAUAUCAUACAAGCAUGUUGUAAUAAACAUGCAUCCUAAUUUGGUGACCCUUUUGAGUCAAGGGUUGUCCUAACAUAUUUGAAGGACGUAUAUGCUUUUUAAAACCAAUCCAUUAUCCUCCCCAAGACCUUCAUAGGUGUACAUAGAUGGCAUAAAUGCCUACAAAAGUUGUACAAAUGGGAUACAAUCUUUAGGGAAAGGAAAAAUAACAUGAGAAAAAGAACAAUAUCCCACGCAGAGGAUAGGAAAUACUAGUUCCUGAAUACUCUUAUAUCAGCCUUCUUAGCUUUGUCCACUUUGGUAACAUCCAUUGAUUAUCAAGAUAUUGCCGUAUAACUGUGAUCUAUAUGCAACCGACCAAAUCGAUCAAUUUCUUGCUAUGCUUGCUUCAAUUCCUUCCUCAAUUGGUGUAUGAUUGAGGCAUCAUUACACGAAAGUAAGCAAGCUUUUUCCCAACCCCUAAAGGAUAAUGGAUUUGAUUAAUUAAACAUAUAUUUCUUCAACACAUAAAUAUGAUUCGUCUAUAAUUGAAUCGGGAUCAAUAGACGCAGGAAAAGUUUUCUAAUGAGCCCAAUACCCCCUCGGGUAUUGGGUCGUCCUAGGUUCAUGCCUAAAAUAGGGUUUUGGUUUAGCUCUAUCCUAGCUGUCUAGAGUGGGUUUGAACCAGGUUCCCAAGUAGACAACUUGGGUUUAAAAAUACGAACAGCCAUCAGACGACUCACAUGCUAAUAAACCAUCGUGUUUCCAACACAUUAUUUGGAAUUGAACAAUAGAGGCCGGGAUAUCCACGAAAUGCCAAAACAGUUUAUAAGUAAAUGUAAGAAUAUGCUAUGAGAUGCAAUAAUUAAAUACCGCAAAAUCAAAACAUAUAAACACGUAACCAGUAAAUCAAAAGACGAAAUCAAACAUUUGGUUAGAACCUAAUUAAAUCCCCAGAAGAGUCGUCAUUUCCGUUUUGCGAAAAUUUUGACUUUCAGAGAGUCGCCACUUAAUUUUGAAAAGAAAUUAAGAAAGCUUUAUAAAAUAUUUUAAACUAUCCAAAACUGAAAGAUCAAUUAAGUUUUGAAGAUUCUGAGUAAGUGGCUCCUAUUAACGUUUUAGGAAGGUUUUAAGCACCUAAAACGUCCGCUAACUUGCGGUUAUUCAGACUGUUUGAAAACAUCUUUUGAUUAACUUCUAAAAUGAUUAAUUUGUUGAAAAGUGAUUGAUUUUUUUUUAGAAAAGACUUGUGUAAAAUGGAUUUAGGCGACUUAGUAGGGAUUUUAACUAAGUCUAAACAAAACUAAUAAGCAAGUAAACACAUAAAGGGGGGAAAGAGGCAAAAGUAAAGGAUUUAGGCCAUUGGGCCCAAAUCAAUGAGACCUGUCCUAAUCUAAUUGGGCUUCCAACCCAUUUCACCUAUCCUAAUCUAAUUUUGAAGCCUUUUGGCCCAAAAUUCGCCUCACCUGUAUUAAAUUUAUAACAUUGGCUUCGAGGCCCAAAUGAAUGAAUGAAUAAAUAAAUAAACAAAAUAAAUAAAGACAACAAUACUCAAAUAAAUAAAACAACAAAUGAGACUUUUGAGUCUCUUAGCCGAUUCAAAUGUGAGUCUUUAACCCGCCUUUCUUCUUCCAACUCUUCGUGUUUAUACGCCAUGGGAUCACUUUUAGACAUAGAACUUCGGGCUUGACUCAAUGAGAGCCCAUUAAGGAAUGCAAGGGAAAAGGGUUCAUUUGGACUCCAGGGCGGAUUCAUGCGAAGGAAUGAAAAAUAUAUGAAUUAAUAUAUGUUCAUGGAAACAAACUAUUCUGGCAACAAAGGAAAUUACGAAAGUUCAAAGCUUUAAAAAUUCACAACCCCAAACCCAAGCACAAAAAUAAAACUUAGGUGCAUGCUCACUGAACAAAUAAUUGUAUCUACUAAUUUUGAAUUUUUAACAUAAAGAUCGAAGAGAGCACGACAUAUUACACCCUAGUAACUUCACAUGGAAGCAUGAAUAUGCAUGAAAGGAUUCCAGUAAAAAAGGGGGCACUCUUCCUAACCUAAUGUGAUAAUUAUUUAAAUGAGAGUAGGAUAUGAUGUUGGUUUUAAUUGCUAUAAUAUUAGAAAUGCUGCAACAUUUAUUAAAGGAUCGUACACUAAUAGUAAAUCCCAAUCAAUUCCCUUUGUGACAAAUCGACACCUUCACAUACUUAUCAAUGAAAAGAAACACACAGAAGCGAAAGAAAUUUCAUCAACUACCUAUCAAAAUACUCAACCGUAAUACAAAACUAAAGAGCUGAAGAUAACUUCUAAAAAUAGAUAAAUAAAUUUACACUACAUAUGAACUAAGACAAGUUUGUUUCAACUCUUUUCUCUUAUGUUGCACAAUAUACAAGACAAUCCAAUCAAUGAAAGCAAAGAAGUUCUCACUUAAACCAAGAAACUAUCAAUUUUCCAACACUAAAAUCAAAAUGCAGUCGUGCACUUCAAAGAAACCGAUCCAUACCAAGACUAUAUGAAAUUCUCAUGUUACUAGAAACGAAAGAAAACGGUUUGCAAGUUGUUUCGAGAACUGCAUGCCUAAACAUAACAACCCGUCCUAGUCAAGAGACUGAAUGAACACAAAAGAAGCGAAACUGACGUAUAAACACAAACUCCAUCCGACAGUAGAUAUCCAAAGAAACAAAAAACUAUGACGCUCCAUCCCCAUAACGAAAACAAAAUUGAACUAUUCUCUUUAAAGGGACAUACUCAAAAUCACAACUAUUGCAUCCAUCACCCUAAACCAAUCACAUACUGGCAACAAGCUCAAGAGACAAGAGGGGAAAAGGAAAUCCAAAUUUACACGAGAAAAGACACAGUAAAUAGAGCUAAAGGGGAAGUGGUGGGGCACUAAUAUCAACCUCAUCCUCUUUCUGACAAACUCAAAAUGAGUUUUAAUAGUCAAAACGAUCAUCAAGGAAUCAUGGGAUUUGCUAUUUUUUAUUAGACGUAUCUUCGUUAUUCUUUGUCAUUUGAGAAGCCAAAGAAUUCAAGAGGAGGUCCUAUUAAUGGCGCUACCAGCUCAACCACAUCAAACUAAUGACGACAAACAAGACAAUGUCAAAUACUAACCAUGAACAUGACACCAUCAACCCAAACCUAUUAAACAAAAUCACAGCAUGAAGCUUUAAAUGACAAAACCAGUUUUAACAAGACACCAGUAGCCCAAAACUAUUAAUCAAAAUCAAAGCAUACAACUUUAACGACGAAACCAGCCUUAAAAAGAUACCAGCAACUCGAAAUAAAAUUAAAAGCAUGAAACUUUAGCUACCAAACCAGCCUUAACAAGAUAGCAGCAACUCGAAAUAGAAUUAAAAGCAUGAAACUUUAGCUACCAAAACCAGCCUUCAAAUCACAAGUAGUACCCAAGAUGAGAUGUUAAGUCGAAGAUUAACCAACAAUAUCAAGAGUAAAUGACAAAAUCAAUGUCGAGGCAUAGACAACCGAAAUCGCACAUUAGACAACUCAAAACAAGAAUUAAUCCAAUGCAACAAUAACCCAACACUUGCUUCACAACUACAGAAAAACCUAUGGCCUUUAAGGCCUCUACCAGCAAACAACCCAGCACACAAGCAGUGUUGAAAAUCAUCUAUGACUAUAGAAUGGUGAGAUGAAGCAGAAAACGAUCGACAUUUAAAUAGCGACGGAAUAUUACCUAUUCGGGAAUAGCAAAACGGGACUACGAGCUGACGUCGAGAUGUGCCACCACCGAAAAUCAAUGUUAUCAACUCAGGACCUCUAAUUAAUCGAUCAACUCUCAAAAGAAGAAAGAAAGAGAAAAUAUUUUACUAAAAGGGACUGUUUUUGCUCUCAGAAUUUUCUUCCUCUUUUUUUUCGAAACUUUUCUCUGUUUUUGCUUUUUUUUUUUUGAAAAAAUUUUCUCUCCUCCUCCCGAAGGCCCUUCUUCAUCUCCAUGAAUAAGCUUUUUAUAGCAACAAAAAAGGAGAGUUCUCAAAACCUUUCCUCGAUGUCGGAACACAACCCUUUUUGGGGGUAAUUUCGGAAUUUUCCCUAGGGUAUUCAAAUUUCACAACUCAAGACCAAAUUUUCCCCCAACAAAUUGCACCAAUUGAACUAUUUUUGAACAAAUCAAAAACCAAAUUCAGCCAAUGAGAAUUAAGGACAAGAAUAAUUCUCCAAGAACCAAUCAAAAUCUAACUAGUAUGUACAAAUUCGUAUGAAUCAACCGUUGAAGGAGGACAACUCGUCAUAUUCUAGAAGAUUAGGUAUGAAAACGUAUAUUUGUCACAUGACCCAUACGAUCAAAAGCAAAAGGGAUAAAUUUAGCGGGAAAAAGAAAACAGGGGUCGGUUCUCGGGUUUGACGCGAAUUCGGGUUGAAGCUAUUGAGUUCGUCGAUGGUUUGUCACUGUUUUGUGAAGAGAAAAUGCUAAAGGGUAAUCUGGUCAGGCAGGUCAAAAUUGUUUACAGUCGGGUCACCGAUAUUGAUAAUGUUGG